Molecule: ribosomal RNA, 497 nt
Filed under: uncultured bacterium
Lineage: Bacteria
Description: partial 16S ribosomal RNA
Rfam family: Bacterial small subunit ribosomal RNA
Source: RNAcentral
GAUGAACGCUGGCGGCGUGCCUAAUACAUGCAAGUCGAGCGAACAGACGAGGAGCUUGCUCCUCUGACGUUAGCGGCGGACGGGUGAGUAACACGUGGAUAACCUACCUAUAAGACUGGGAUAACUUCGGGAAACCGGAGCUAAUACCGGAUAAUAUAUUGAACCGCAUGGUUCAAUAGUGAAAGACGGUUUUGCUGUCACUUAUAGAUGGAUCCGCGCCGCAUUAGCUAGUUGGUAAGGUAACGGCUUACCAAGGCGACGAUGCGUAGCCGACCUGGGAGGGUGAACGGCCACACUGGAACUGAGAGACGGUCCAGACUCCUACGGGAGGCAGCAGUAGGGAAUCUUCCGCAAUGGGCGAAAGCCUGACGGAGCAACGCCGCGUGAGUGAUGAAGGUCUUCGGAUCGUAAAACUCUGUUAUUAGGGAAGAACAAAUGUGUAAGUAACUAUGCACGUCUUGACGGUACCUAAUAAGAAAGCCACGGCUAACUACGUG